UAAAGAUCGCCUAACUCCGUGCCGGCACCCGCGGUAAUACGGAGGAUCCGAGCGUUAUCCGGAAUCAUUGGGUUUAAAGGGUCCGUAGGCGGUCUUAUAAGUCAGUGCUGAAAGCCCAUCGCUCAACUAGGGAACUGCCAUUGAUACUGUACUACUUGAAUUCUUCGGAAAUAACUAGAAUGUGUAGUGUAGCGGUGAAAUGCUUAGAUAUUACAUGGAAUACCAAUUGCGAAGGCAGGUUACUACUAAGUGAUUGACGCUAAUGGACGAAAGCGUGGCGAGCGAACAUGAUUAGAUACCCUGCACCUCCACGCCGUAAACAAUG
Molecule: ribosomal RNA, 325 nt
Filed under: uncultured Bacteroidota bacterium
Lineage: Bacteria; Pseudomonadati; Bacteroidota
Description: bacterial SSU rRNA
Rfam family: Bacterial small subunit ribosomal RNA
Source: RNAcentral